CUGAAUGAAAAUUCACCCUGAACGUACCAGGCCUCGUCGGAUCUCGGAAGCUAAGCAGGCCUGAGCCUGGAUAGCACUGGGAUUGGAGACUGCCUGGGAACACCACGUGUUCUACACU
Molecule: ribosomal RNA, 118 nt
Filed under: Petromyzon marinus (sea lamprey)
Lineage: Eukaryota; Metazoa; Chordata; Hyperoartia; Petromyzontiformes; Petromyzontidae
Source: RNAcentral